This 396-nucleotide ribosomal RNA is filed under the name uncultured bacterium. Its description in RNAcentral is "bacterial SSU rRNA". It matches the Rfam family "Bacterial small subunit ribosomal RNA", at positions 362 to 775 of the family's 1533-position model. The record is from RNAcentral.
UUUUGCUCAAUGGGCGCAAGCCUGAAGCAGCAACGCCGCGUGAGGGAUGAAGGCCUUCGGGUUGUAAACCUCUUUUCUCAGGGACGAUGAUGACGGUACCUGAGGAAUAAGUCACGGCUAACUACGUGCCAGCAGCCGCGGUAAUACGUAAGUGACUAGCGUUGUCCGGAUUUACUGGGCGUAAAGAGCGCGCAGGCGGUCGUUCAAGUCGAGUGUGAAAGCCCCCGGCUCAACUGGGGAGGGUCACUCGAUACUGAUCGACUUGAAGGCGGGAGAGGGUAGUGGAAUUCCCGGUGUAGUGGUGAAAUGCGUAGAUAUCGGGAGGAACACCAGUGGCGAAGGCGACUACCUGGCCCGUUCUUGACGCUGAGGCGCGAAAGCUAGGGGAGCAAACGG